UACAGAGGUCUCAAGCGUUGUUCGGAUUCAUUGGGCGUAAAGCGUGCGCAGGCGGUCCGCCAAGUCUGAUGUGAAAGCCCCGGGCUCAACCUGGGAACUGCAUUGGAAACUAACGGGCUCGAGUGUGGCAGAGGGGGGUGGAAUUCCACGUGUAGCAGUGAAAUGCGUAGAGAUGUGGAGGAACACCGAUGGCGAAGGCAGCCCCCUGGGCUAACACUGACGCUCAGGCACGAAAGCGUGGGGAGCAAACAGG
RNAcentral lists this ribosomal RNA (253 nucleotides) under uncultured bacterium. RNAcentral describes it as "partial 16S ribosomal RNA". It matches the Rfam family "Bacterial small subunit ribosomal RNA", at positions 524 to 776 of the family's 1533-position model. The record is from RNAcentral.